AUAAAGUGGAGACUAGAACCCACUUAAAAAAAAAGGGCGUAUUCCGAAAAGCCUAAUGAGUAGGA
RNAcentral lists this non-coding RNA (65 nucleotides) under unclassified sequences. Its description in RNAcentral is "DUF805 RNA". It matches the Rfam family "DUF805 RNA". The record is from RNAcentral.